This 496-nucleotide ribosomal RNA is filed under the name uncultured bacterium. RNAcentral describes it as "partial 16S ribosomal RNA". It matches the Rfam family "Bacterial small subunit ribosomal RNA", at positions 28 to 506 of the family's 1533-position model. The record is from RNAcentral.
GAUGAACGCUGGCGGCGUGCCUAAUACAUGCAAGUCGAGCGAACAGAUGAGGAGCUUGCUCCUCUGACGUUAGCGGCGGACGGGUGAGUAACACGUGGAUAACCUACCUAUAAGACUGGGAUAACUUCGGGAAACCGGAGCUAAUACCGGAUAAUAUAUUGAACCGCAUGGUUCAAUAGUGAAAGACGGUCUUGCUGUCACUUAUAGAUGGAUCCGCGCCGCAUUAGCUAGUUGGUAAGGUAACGGCUUACCAAGGCAACGAUGCGUAGCCGACCUGAGAGGGUGAUCGGCCACACUGGAACUGAGACACGGUCCAGACUCCUACGGGAGGCAGCAAUAGGGAAUCUUCCGCAAUGGGCGAAAGCCUGACGGAGCAACGCCGCGUGAGUGAUGAAGGUCUUCGGAUCGUAAAACUCUGUUAUUAGGGAAGAACAAAUGUGUAAGUAACUAUGCACGUCUUGACGGUACCUAAUCAGAAAGCCACGGCUAACUACGU